CUGACGGGACACGGUGGGUCGAUAUAGGUGUAAAGGCCCUGGCACCCCUUAAGAGCAAGGCCAAGAGGGGUGCCCGUGUCACCGUCAG
Molecule: regulatory RNA element, 88 nt
Organism: Archaeoglobus profundus DSM 5631
Lineage: Archaea; Methanobacteriati; Methanobacteriota; Archaeoglobi; Archaeoglobales; Archaeoglobaceae
Rfam family: L4-Archaeoglobi ribosomal protein leades
Source: Rfam